Molecule: ribosomal RNA, 388 nt
Filed under: Anopheles willmori
Lineage: Eukaryota; Metazoa; Arthropoda; Insecta; Diptera; Culicidae
Description: eukaryotic LSU rRNA
Rfam family: Eukaryotic large subunit ribosomal RNA
Source: RNAcentral
GACCCGUCUUGAAACACGGACCAAGAAGUCUAUCUUGCGCGCAAGCCAAUGGGUGUCGCGUGGUGCCGGCGUGCACUGCGCACACGUGUAAACCCCAAAGGCGCAGACAACUCGAACAAGUUGCUAAGGGAUUACGGGUUCGGCACGGGCGCAAGCCUUCGUCGGGCCCCUCCAUCCCGGGGUGUCCCGCCGCCGGGCUCCGGCCCGAGUGGGCAUCCCUCGAGUGCGUAGGAUGCGACCCGAAAGAUGGUGAACUAUGCCUGAUCAGGCCGAAGUCAGGGGAAACCCUGAUGGAGGGCCGAAGCAAUUCUGACGUGCAAAUCGAUUGUCAGAGUUGGGCAUAGGGGCGAAAGACCAAUCGAACCAUCUAGUAGCUGGUUCCUUCCGA